Molecule: ribosomal RNA, 231 nt
Filed under: Triticum aestivum (bread wheat)
Lineage: Eukaryota; Viridiplantae; Streptophyta; Magnoliopsida; Poales; Poaceae
Description: partial small subunit ribosomal RNA
Source: RNAcentral
AUGGACGGCCGCGCCGGAGGGUUCUCCCCCGUGCAGAUCACGCCGAGGGUGAACACGGCCAGGAUGUCCGCCAUGUUGGCCGGGUCACGGAUGUGCUCGUCGACCACGUCGCUGAACGGAGGGCCUUUCUGGUACCGCCGCCACGCCCACUCCGCCAGGCAGAAGUCGGCGCCGCCGUCGUUCGCGACCUUGCCGGUGAUCAGCUCCAGCAGAACCACACCGAAGCUGUAA